RNAcentral lists this ribosomal RNA (254 nucleotides) under uncultured bacterium. Its description in RNAcentral is "partial 16S ribosomal RNA". It matches the Rfam family "Bacterial small subunit ribosomal RNA", at positions 524 to 776 of the family's 1533-position model. The record is from RNAcentral.
UACGUAGGGUGCGAGCGUUGUCCGGAAUUAUUGGGCGUAAAGAGCUCGUAGGCGGUCUGUCGCGUCGAUCGUGAAAACUUGGGGCUUAACCCUGAGCUUGCGGUCGAUACGGGCAUGACUGGAGUUCGGCAGGGGAGACUGGAAUUCCUGGUGUAGCGGUGAAAUGCGCAGAUAUCAGGAGGAACACCGGUGGCGAAGGCGGUUCUCUGGGCAUGAUCUGACGCUGAGGAGCGAAAGUGUGGGGAGCGAACAGG